UCAAUAGGAAUAAACCUUUUACACCGGUGUUAUGUUAAGAGGAUGAGACUUACUGUUGAUCUGUGACUUUAGUAUUUUAUCAGUGGGACUUAAAAGGCCUAUUAAUGUGUUUCAUCUCCUGUAAUUCCUGAUUUACAGAAGCUGGCAAAACAAGGGUGAAAUUAAUUAUUGAAUGCUUUAUCAUGAUAUAAUUAAAUAACUUUACUAUGCCAUAAAUGUUUGCUUAAUAGAGGAUGUUCUUUAUAGUUAUUCUGUUUUUGAACUUGAGUUUUAUGUUAGUACAUGCAACAUGGAGAGUAUAAGGGUCUUUUCUCUAGUCUCUGUAACUUGCAGAAGGAUGAGACAGAAUUGUAUUUUUCAUAUUCUGUAGGACAUGAGGAUCCUUUUAGUCCUUUCCACAUUUCUGAAGACCGUGAAACUCCAGAAGCAGCAAGAAUUUCUAUCAGAGAUUGUGACCACCUUUACUUUGCUGAAGGUAUAAAAUGGAAAAGAUCACUGUGACUGGCCAGAUCUUAUCAGCUCUGGAAAAAAGCUCAGGUCAAGAACAGCUCUUGAGGAAAACAAAAUGAAAGACCAACAUUUAGAAACAAUUGGAACAAUUCAGCUUCCCCUACAUAUGCGAAUUUCAGCUUUUUUUGUUGGUGGUGUUUUUUUUUGUUGUUGUUUUUAAAUACAUUUAGAGGCUGCAGGGAACAAUUAUGAUCAUCCUGACUGAACUCCUGCAUAACCCAAACUACACAAUUUCACCCAGGGACUCUUACACAUAAUGUAACAGCUUGUGAUUGAAUUACUAGAGCAUGCUGAAUUGCAGAAAGUUCUUACGUGGAAACAAGUUGUUCUUUAGAAGUUCACUUUCUGUUGCACUACAAGCUUCAUAUCUGUAGUAACAUAAUGGUCUUUAUCAGGAGUUUGCUGUGAUCUUGUUUUAAGAUGAUUACAACUCUAGGUGAGCUAUGAGAAAGCAAAUAAGCAUUGAUUUAAGCCCACAUGGUUGAGAUUUAAAAAAACUUACAAAAAUGCUUCUUGGAUCCUAUUACUUACAGAGAGUGCUCAGAGGACACUGCAGAACUCUUUCUUUAGAUGAACGAUGUCUCAGGUAAGCGCCCUACAAACUAUUGUCUGUAGAGAGUACAGACUUUCUCCACAGAGUACCCCAUUUUAUUUUCUAGCAGAGUGAAGAGUAAGAGGAAUAGGUUGCGCAAAAUAGAUUUGCUUACUCUCUGUUUUUAAUUUAUUUAUUUUUUCUCCUUAAGAUAAGCCAUUUAUUGUAAUUGCUUUUGUAGUAAACUACUGCCGAAAUUUAAAAAAAAAAAAAAAAAGUCUAUUAUGUUUCAUUGGUACUGCCAAUUAUUGCUCAACUCUUUCCACUAAAAAAGUGCAAUGGUAGUGGAUCUGUGUUAGAACUGAUAUUCAGGAAUCAUCCCUGUCCAGUAAACAGAGAGCAUCUGUGCCAAAAGCCCAGAAUAUACAGCUUAAAAUAAGAACUGGGCUAAUACAGUGCCAUUGUAAUCCACAAAAAGAUUCAUACUAACUGUAGCAAACAGUGUGUCAGGAUGGAAAUUUGACAAGUUUAAAAUUAAACUGGUCAAACAAGCAUAUCAGCUCAGUUUGAGACUGGGUCCUAUGUAUCCAAACCUGUGAAGUAUUGAAACCUGGUAAUGUACUGUAUUUCUAAGAUGCCUUGAAAAUAAAAAGAUUAGGAUUUCAGCA
This is a long non-coding RNA of Anser cygnoides (Swan goose), 1710 nucleotides long. Lineage: Eukaryota; Metazoa; Chordata; Aves; Anseriformes; Anatidae. The record is from Ensembl.